This 683-nucleotide ribosomal RNA is filed under the name Reticulitermes speratus. Its description in RNAcentral is "partial 16S ribosomal RNA". The stretch from base 342 to 504 matches the Rfam family "Archaeal large subunit ribosomal RNA", at positions 1883 to 2090 of the family's 2987-position model. The record is from RNAcentral. Lineage: Eukaryota; Metazoa; Arthropoda; Insecta; Blattodea; Rhinotermitidae.
UUAGGGGUUUCUGGUUUUUCAAGAAAUGAAUUUAAUUCAUGCGUCUUAUUUAGAGUUUUAUUAUUUGUUUAUUUAUUUUUAUUUGUCGUUAAGAUUGGGGGGGAUUAGCUUCUUAUUUUAUUUUUAUAAUUUUUUGUUUAUUUAGUCUUGUGGGUUUUAUAGUGAUUUUCAAUUUGAUUAUGUUAAAAUUUUAUUUGUUUUGUUCUUUAUUUUUGUUUAUUUAAUUAUUUAUUGAAAUGUAUUCUUUAUUUUGUUUUGGUUAGUAAUUAUUGUAGAAUUAGUAAAUUUGUUUUUAGGUUGUUUUAUUUGUGUUAAUUUUCUUUGAGGAACUAGGCAAAUUUCAUGUCCGCCUGUUUAACAAAAACAUCUUUUCUCGUUAGUUUUUGAAGUAUGGCCUGCCCGCUGACUUUGGUGUUGAAGGGCCGCGGUAUUUUGACCGUGCAAAGGUAGCAUAGUCAUUAGUUCUUUAAUUGUGAUCUGGUAUGAAUGGCUUGACGAGGCAUGGGCUGUCUUAAUUUUGAACUGUUUAUUGAAUUUGGUCUUUGAGUUAAAAUUCUUAGAUGUUUUUAUGGGACGAGAAGACCCUAUAGAGUUUAACAUUUGUUAUGGUCCCUUUCUGUUUGUGAGGGUUCACUGGGCCGUCUAAUAUGUUUUGUUGGGGUGAUGGGAGGGAUACAAUUUAA